Molecule: long non-coding RNA, 617 nt
Filed under: Carica papaya (papaya)
Lineage: Eukaryota; Viridiplantae; Streptophyta; Magnoliopsida; Brassicales; Caricaceae
Description: long non-coding RNA (CPAP_LNC008043)
Source: RNAcentral
AGUGGCUCAUCGGAAAGGUUUUAGGGCUUUGAUUGUGGCGACUCCGCCGAGCUUCACCUGCGAUUUUCGGCUCACUCACUGUCUAUUUUGCUCCGAUUUGGGUAUCAGAGUGCUUGGAAUCAAAUUCCGAGCGGGUAGAAGAAAUUUUUAUCUCUUUUGGCGGUCGGCAGUGACUCUGGUGCAGCGGCGGUCGACUUCUUUCUCCAGCGUCUGGUUUUUCUUCUCUAGUGGGGGCUUGCGGCUAGGGUUUGGAUUCCCAUAUGAUGCAAGAUAUUUAUAUCCAUCCUGCUUUGAUUUGGUCCACCAAUCGCGAUCGAUCUCGUCUGUCCGAUCGCACCUAAGGAGAAAAUAAAUUUGAACCGUCCAUCGUAAUUUGAUCUUGAUUGUCUGAUCGCGUUUAUAGGAGAAACAAAUUCGAACCGUCCACACGUGCAAUAUCAAUCUUGGGUCGUUCGAUCGCGGAGCACGCAGAUCGCCUGUGUGGUAUCCUGCGUGGCUCCGACAUUAGCGUGCCUUGCCACGCGACAUGCUCCAGUUUGUUGGUGUUGCUGAUUGGGCGGUCUUACAUGACACAAUUUUUUCUAUUUGUACUCUAACUCUCAGUUUCUAAUUUUUCU